Molecule: small nucleolar RNA, 65 nt
Organism: Equus caballus (horse)
Lineage: Eukaryota; Metazoa; Chordata; Mammalia; Perissodactyla; Equidae
Gene: SNORD37
Product: small nucleolar RNA, C/D box 37
Source: Ensembl
UUAUGUGAUGACUGAAAUUUCUUCACUUUGACCUGAUGUCUGUUGAAGAAUCCCAUUGUCUGAGG